RNAcentral lists this ribosomal RNA (602 nucleotides) under uncultured fungus. RNAcentral describes it as "eukaryotic LSU rRNA". It matches the Rfam family "Eukaryotic large subunit ribosomal RNA", at positions 23 to 620 of the family's 3401-position model. Lineage: Eukaryota; Fungi. The record is from RNAcentral.
ACCCGCUGAACUUAAGCAUAUCAAUAAGCGGAGGAAAAGAAACUAACAAGGAUUCCCCUAGUAACGGCGAGUGAAGCGGGAAUAGCUCAAAUUUAAAAUCUUGUAGGGUUACCUGCACGAAUUGUAGUUUAGAGAAACGUUUUCGGGUCUGACAUGGGCAUAAGUCCUUUGGAACGAGGCAUCAUAGAGGGUGAGAAUCCCGUUUUUGGCCCAUUGUUCAGUCCUAUGUGAUACGUUUUCCAAGAGUCGGUUUGUUUGGGAAUGCAGACCAAAAUGGGUGGUAAAUACCAUCUAAAGCUAAAUAUUGGCGAGAGACCGAUAGCGAACAAGUACCGUGAGGGAAAGAUGAAAAGAACUUUGAAAAGAGAGUUAAACAGUACGUGAAAUUGUCAAAAGGGAAACGCUUGAAACCAGUAUUGCUGGCAAAUAAUCAGCCUUGCAAUUUGCAAGGUGCACUUGUUUGUCGGCAGGUCAACAUCAGUUUGACUUGGGGUAAAAAGCCAGAAGAAGGUGACCCAGAGCUUGCUUUGGGUGUUAUAGCUUCUGGUCCUGCCUUGGGUUGGACUGAGGACUGCAGCAUUUUUUGGGUACCCAGUCGCCUC